GACGAACGCUGGCGGUAGGCCUAACACAUGCAAGUCGAACGGCAGCACAGAGGAGCUUGCUCCUUGGGUGGCGAGUGGCGGACGGGUGAGGAAUACAUCGGAAUCUACUCUGUCGUGGGGGAUAACGUAGGGAAACUUACGCUAAUACCGCAUACGACCUACGGGUGAAAGCAGGGGACCUUCGGGCCUUGCGCGAUUGAAUGAGCCGAUGUCGGAUUAGCUAGUUGGCGGGGUAAAGGCCCACCAAGGCGACGAUCCGUAGCUGGUCUGAGAGGAUGAUCAGCCAAACUGGAACUGAGACACGGUCCAGACUCCUACGGGAGGCAGCAGUGGGGAAUAUUGGACAAUGGGCGCAAGCCUGAUCCAGCCAUACCGCGUGGGUGAAGAAGGCCUUCGGGUUGUAAAGCCCUUUUGUUGGGAAAGAAAUCCAGCUGGCUAAUACCCGGUUGGGAUGACGGUACCCAAAGAAUAAGCACCGGCUAACUUCGUGCCAGCCGCCGCCGUAA
Molecule: ribosomal RNA, 506 nt
Filed under: uncultured bacterium
Lineage: Bacteria
Description: partial 16S ribosomal RNA
Rfam family: Bacterial small subunit ribosomal RNA
Source: RNAcentral